RNAcentral lists this ribosomal RNA (445 nucleotides) under uncultured bacterium. RNAcentral's name for it is "partial 16S ribosomal RNA". It matches the Rfam family "Bacterial small subunit ribosomal RNA", at positions 330 to 792 of the family's 1533-position model. The record is from RNAcentral.
GCCAGACUCCUACGGGAGGCAGCAGUGGGGGAUAUUGCACAAUGGGGGGAACCCUGAUGCAGCGACGCCGCGUGAGUGAGGAAGUAUUUCGGUAUGUAAAGCUCUAUCAGCAGGGAAGAAAAUGACGGUACCUGACUAAGAAGCCCCGGCUAACUACGUGCCAGCAGCCGCGGUAAUACGUAGGGGGCAAGCGUUAUCCGGAUUUACUGGGUGUAAAGGGAGCGUAGACGGUUAAUCAAGUCAGAAGUGAAAACCCGGGGCUCAACCUUGGGACUGCUUUUGAAACUGAGUAGCUAGAGUGCAGGAGAGGUAAGCGGAAUUCCUAGUGUAGCGGUGAAAUGCGUAGAUAUUAGGAGGAACACCAGUGGCGAAGGCGGCUUACUGGACUGUAACUGACGUUGAGGCUCGAAAGCGUGGGGAGCAAACAGGAUUAGAUACCCCUGUA